This 511-nucleotide ribosomal RNA is filed under the name uncultured bacterium. RNAcentral's name for it is "bacterial SSU rRNA". It matches the Rfam family "Bacterial small subunit ribosomal RNA", at positions 28 to 585 of the family's 1533-position model. The record is from RNAcentral.
AACGAACGCUGGCGGCAGGCCUAACACAUGCAAGUCGAGCGCGCCCUUCGGGGCGAGCGGCGGACGGGUGAGUAACGCGUGGGAACGUGCCCUUCUCUGCGGAAUAGCCUCGGGAAACUGAGAGUAAUACCGCACACGCCCUUUGGGGGAAGGAUUUAUCGGAGAAGGAUCGGCCCGCGUUGGAUUAGGUAGUUGGUGGGGUAAUGGCCCACCAAGCCGACGAUCCAUAGCUGGUUUGAGAGGAUGAUCAGCCACACUGGGACUGAGACACGGCCCAGACUCCUACGGGAGGCAGCAGUGGGGAAUCUUAGACAAUGGGGGCAACCCUGAUCUAGCCAUGCCGCGUGAGUGAUGAAGGCCUUAGGGUUGUAAAGCUCUUUCAGCUGGGAAGAUAAUGACGGUACCAGCAGAAGAAGCCCCGGCUAACUCCGUGCCAGCAGCCGCGGUAAUACGGAGGGGGCUAGCGUUGUUCGGAAUUACUGGGCGUAAAGCGCACGUAGGCGGACCAGGU